Molecule: non-coding RNA, 185 nt
Organism: Pelobates cultripes (western spadefoot toad)
Lineage: Eukaryota; Metazoa; Chordata; Amphibia; Anura; Pelobatidae
Source: the annotation of a GenBank genome assembly
UGUGUGUAUUUUUGUGUCAGUGUGUAUCUGUGUGUGUGUGUAUUUGUAAGUCAAGAUGUGUGUAUGUGCCACUGUGUGCAUCUGAGUGUGUAUCUGAGUGUGUGUAUCUGUGUGUCAAGGUGUGCGUGUGUGUGUCAGAUACAUAUACACACACACAGAUACACACUGACACAAAAAUACACACA